This 70-nucleotide ribosomal RNA is filed under the name Pseudomonas fluorescens. RNAcentral also lists the same sequence under 1 other name. Lineage: Bacteria; Pseudomonadati; Pseudomonadota; Gammaproteobacteria; Pseudomonadales; Pseudomonadaceae. The record is from RNAcentral.
CUUGACGACCAUAGAGCAUUGGAACCACCUGAUCCCAUCCCGAACUCAGAAGUGAAACGAUGCAUCGCCG